GGCAGUUACUAACAUGUUUAGUAACUCGGAAAGAGUACUAUCCAUCUUAUUCAUGUUGUAGUUCAUUACGAACUGCGACAAUGAAUCAGAAAGAGAAGCCAAUAUGAAGUCCUGGGCCAAUUCCCCGUCAAGUGGAGUACGAAGGUUCUCCAAUUGUUCAAUGAAUCCUAUCAUCUUCAGUACAUGUUGAUGCACUGGAGCCCCCUUGACCAUCU
RNAcentral lists this long non-coding RNA (215 nucleotides) under Malus domestica (apple). Its description in RNAcentral is "long non-coding RNA (MDOM_LNC011277)". The record is from RNAcentral. Lineage: Eukaryota; Viridiplantae; Streptophyta; Magnoliopsida; Rosales; Rosaceae.